UUCCCCCAUGAAAAUGUUUUAAAAUAGGUUUUAAAAAACAAAGAAAACUUAAAAUAGUUAAUUUAUUUUCUAAUAGAAAAAAUUAGAAAAUGAAAGAAAUAAACCACUCUACUUCCUCCACAUGCAUUAAAGACCCUCAAAGGAAAAUAAAAGAAAAAGUUUCUCAUGAAUUGAAGAUAUUUUUCACUUGAUUUUUUUAUCCAUAUGUCACAAACCUACUUUCAACAUUUUUUUAAAAUUCUCUGAUUCAGCUGGCAUUCAAGUGGAGUGAUUGCACUGCAGUGAACACAUUGAAAUCAGAAUAAAGUCAAACUGGAGUUCACAUCCACCUCUCUUGACCUCAGUAACUACUGUGCUCUCUAUUAGCAGACCUUAGCAUAGCAGAAAUGUCUGAGGCUGGCUGUACUUAGCGAUUCAAGUGCUCUGUUUAUUCAUCAGACAGCCACACUAUGCAGCCAACACUGGGCUUUUAAAAAGCACUUGUACAUUAGUUUCAAAAUUGAAAACUUAGAUAAGAUUCAUCUCUGCUUGUUUGGCUUUUCUCAAACUUUGCUUGGCCUCAAUAAUCUACAUUUGGUUCAUCGAGGUCUGUACAAGCUGGGGAACCUUGAGAAUUUGUCUAGGCAGUUUAUACAGUGAUGUUCAGCAUUGGCUAACAUUUUGUACAAUAAUCUCUGCUGUUAGCAUUUGUUUUCCUGAUAGCAGACAGACUUCCACUCGCUCAGAUGUUUUAGUUUUCCAAAUUGUUGCCUGGACAGUUUAUGCAAAUACAGAGUUUGAGAUUUCAAGAACUGUCAACAAUCCCUUUCUGCACAAUUUUCAGUGUUGUCAGCUCCUUCCAGUUAAACAGAUGCUCUGUAUCUGUUCCACGUUGUGCAGGGACCAGUCCUGAAACCACAGGUUGUGUCAAAAUAGGGUACAUGUCUUCACAGAACCACCUUUUCCUACAGCACGUGGCCCAUCAUUCUUACAGAACAGUGAUACUGGCUGCUUCCCAGACUCCAGUGAGGAUGUCUCUGAAGUCAGCUGCAGUCUCUGAAGUGCGCUGA
RNAcentral lists this long non-coding RNA (1049 nucleotides) under Anas platyrhynchos platyrhynchos (common mallard). RNAcentral describes it as "lncRNA (ENSAPLG00000027484.1)". Lineage: Eukaryota; Metazoa; Chordata; Aves; Anseriformes; Anatidae. The record is from RNAcentral.